UAUAAAUAAUUAUUUAUGGUAUAAAUUGGCAUAUACGAAAAUUGAAUUUAAAACUUGUUGGGAAUCCGGUAUUCGCCCCGGUAUCAGAUUUUGAGAAUCUGUAAUCCGCUCUGAUAAUCGACUGUUGUGGAUUUGGUAACGAUUGUUGGAAUUUCGUAAUGGAACCAUCAAAUCGGAUUUUUACAAUAAGUCCGUCUCCUCAGCAACAGCUAAUACAAAAAUUAAUAUUCAUUAAAUAAAAGAAGAUUUUAUCUCACUCCUCUACUACAUAUAGUAGCUACAAUCCGAACUCUCUUUCUAAAUCUUUCGCACCAUUUUCUCGUCUUCUAUGAACUAAAAAGACCUCUUUCUAAUCAUGUGUAUCCAUGUAUAAGGUAUGCCAACGACCCACGACUAAAAAAAUCGCACACGUCCUUUUACACCCAUGCACUAGUUGCAUCCAAAAUCAUGACCGUCUUGGCCAUGCCAUAUGGGUGUGGUUAAUCCGUACUACCGCUACAAAAAAAUAGCACAUAUACUAUAUUUAUAGCUUACAUCAAAAGUUAUUCAUAUUCUAGUCCAAUUAAAUUUCUACUCUAAUUAAUAUUUAAAUCUUAAUCUAUCUCCAAUUGUGAGGAAGUGAAUUCUCGAAAUACGAGAGUUAGACUUCAUGCGAAAUCGACCAAGGGUUGUGUUGAUGAGCUUUGGAAAAGCCAAAGAUGUUAAAAU
Molecule: long non-coding RNA, 708 nt
Filed under: Ananas comosus (pineapple)
Lineage: Eukaryota; Viridiplantae; Streptophyta; Magnoliopsida; Poales; Bromeliaceae
Description: long non-coding RNA (ACOM_LNC018126)
Source: RNAcentral